Long non-coding RNA from Biomphalaria glabrata, 511 nucleotides. RefSeq lists it as uncharacterized. The record is from RefSeq and is a predicted model, not a curated record. The transcript is spliced from 3 exons. NCBI's taxonomy places the organism in Eukaryota, Metazoa, Mollusca, Gastropoda, Planorbidae.
UAGAUAUAUGGUCUAAAAUCUAAAUCAUCACUUAUGUUUACAGUUAGGGAGUGUGUGGGUAUCUGUGGGGCUUUCGUGCUGCCUUUUUAAGAGGCUAUUUAAAAGAAAAUGUUGCCGGAGUCUAAAUUCCAAAUCGAUGUCUCGAGCCUACAUGAAUGUCCAAGAUGGAACGUGUGUAAUACCGGUAUAUAAGAGUAGAACUAAUCAGUUAAUGUUUUUAGUAAUUCCCGUGUUGUUAUCACCAAUGAAUAUAGGCCUAGUUGUGCAAAGUUUAACUUGAUCCGAAAACGGAAAGUGGGAGAAAUAACGUGUGCAAGAUUCCAGACAGACAGACAAACAGACAGACUUCCAUGUUAUGGCUGACUUUUGGUAAACGUGUAUUGUCUUGUCUAAAGAUAUGCCCUACGAAUCUUAUAAUAUGUGACGUUCUGUCGCCACUUCACAUAGAAGACGAGUUCCUGUGCGGGAAAUUAUUUCACUAGUGGCAUGCUAUUCUUAUGAUUAUUUUCAG